Molecule: non-coding RNA, 736 nt
Organism: Nothobranchius furzeri (turquoise killifish)
Lineage: Eukaryota; Metazoa; Chordata; Actinopteri; Cyprinodontiformes; Nothobranchiidae
Source: RefSeq, a predicted model, not a curated record
UAGACUGUAAAUACUGGACAAACGGAUUCCAUUGGCUUCAAUAACACGUUUGUUGUCUAUAAUGGGAGGUGGCCACCACCGCCAUUUUGACCGUGUCACAGGUUCCGUCCAGCCCAGACAAUUCCAUAAAAGGGAAGAGAGGAGGCGCUGAGGGUGUGGCUGUAAGGCUGGGCUCGAGUGACGACACCCAGGCGAACUAGCUACGAGCUAACCUGAAGCUAACCCUGGCUAACCCAAAGCUAAAGCGGAGGUGGGAGCCGAGCUAACGGAUGUAGCCACCUAGCUUCAACCCAACCGGAGCUAACUGGAACACCCAUCGACCUGAACCUCACACGGAGUUUAGGUGGAGGUUUUCUGCGCCUGUUCGUGAGAAGUACCUGUAUUAAAAAAGUUUUAAAUCGAUCUAUUAAAAGGUCACCAUGGCAGCCUGUGUGUCAACGUCAGCUACACAAAGCAGCAAGUGUAAGUACCAAGUACUUGUCUUGACCACUUCAUGAAUGGUUUUGUACUUUAAACAGCUAGGCCAAACCUGUUAUUUUUUCCUCCAUAGCCAUUUGGAUCAUUGGAGACAGCUGAGUGAGGCGUGGUGCCCAGAGAGCUGCAGAGACAACCUUGGCCUCCCUGACGUCUGUGUCUCUUGGUUUGGUUGGGGCGGACCAUCGACAUACAUACAUGUGCCGACACUUUGCGCCCUGUUUUAUAAACUGUAGUGUUAAAAAUAAAUGUUUUUGCUCAA